Molecule: ribosomal RNA, 371 nt
Filed under: uncultured bacterium
Lineage: Bacteria
Description: bacterial SSU rRNA
Rfam family: Bacterial small subunit ribosomal RNA
Source: RNAcentral
GACGAACGCUGGCGGCGUGCUUAACACAUGCAAGUCGAGCGGUAAGGCCCUUUUGGGGGUACACGAGCGGCGAACGGGUGAGUAACACGUGGGUGACCUGCCCUCAGCUCUGGGAUAAGCCUGGGAAACUGGGUCUAAUACUGGAUAUGACCUUUCCUCGCAUGGGGUUGGUGGAAAGUUUUUUCGGCUGGGGAUGGGGCCCGCGGCCUAUCAGCUUGUUGGUGGGGUGAUGGCCUACCAAGGCGACGACGGGUAGCCGGCCUGAGAGGGCGACCGGCCACACUGGGACUGAGACACGGCCCAGACUCCUACGGGAGCAGCAGUGGGGAAUAUUGCGCAAUGGGCGGAAGCCUGACGCAGCGACGCCGCGU